Long non-coding RNA from Hyaena hyaena (striped hyena), 960 nucleotides. RefSeq lists it as uncharacterized. The transcript has 4 exons. NCBI's taxonomy places the organism in Eukaryota, Metazoa, Chordata, Mammalia, Carnivora, Hyaenidae. The record is from RefSeq and is a predicted model, not a curated record.
GUCUACUACCACCCACCCCCUUCACCCUAUGUCCCCACGGAUGUCCUGAAUCUCAGUCUCCUCUUGAAGUCAGAGCUGGCCUUUGGCUCAGUGGGGCUCAAGACAAGACAGGGUGGAGUCCCUCCUCCGCCUCCUCCCGCCGCUCCCUCUCAGCCCCUGCAGAAAACCGGGAUGAGGUAUCCAGAGAUUCAGCCUCUUGUUUUGGAAACCUCCAGGAUGUGGAAAGCCAAAGAAAGCCAAGAGGAGAGGGCUAAUGACACAGACCAGGGAGCGUAUGUGGUUAAAACAGCUUGGUUUACCUUCAGACCAACUGAAAAAAAUAAUAAGAUGACACCAAUAUUGCAGCUUUCCAUAUAGAAGAAUAACAGAACCAAGGACAAAGCUGUAGCCCAUCUCUGGGGCAAGCUGGUCUGGUAGCAGAGAAGAUAAAGCAAGAAAACCGGUGGAGACAUGUGCUGGCUCAGAAGUGGUAUAUGCCACUUUGACUUGCAUUCAUUGGCCAGUGUCAGUCGUAUGCCCAAGCCAAUGUCAAUAAGGUGGAGAAAAACAAUCCCCUCACAGAAAAAGCAACAAAUAAUUACAAAGUAUGGUCUACCACACUUUCCCAAACAUUGCCAGAAAGACUAGGCUGUGCUUCUUGAAGGCAAAAAUUGAGACUCUUCUCUUGCACCCCCAUUGCCCAGCACAGAAUCUGGCUAUAGUGGAGUACUCAAUAAUGAAAGGAUGGUGCCCACAUGUUCAGGUACAGAAUAAGGACAGUGACUUUAUCAAGACUAGAAGUCAGAUAUCCUGGUAUCAGCCUGCUAUCUUCCUAUCAUUACACCAUGCUGAAUUGUAGUCACCUAAAGGGCUUUGACCUUUUCAGAAAUCAUGAGAGCCCCAAAUCAAGAACAAAACCAACUGUCAACUAAGCAAUUUGAAGAUGAAGGGGGGGUGAAUAUUAAACAAGGAAGCACAGAA